GAUCCCUUAGCUCAGAUGGAUAGAGUAUCUGACUUCGAAUCAGAGGGUCGGGGGUUCGAGUCCCUCAGGGAUCGCCA
RNAcentral lists this transfer RNA (77 nucleotides) under Rhodospirillaceae bacterium TMED8. RNAcentral's name for it is "tRNA-Arg". It matches the Rfam family "tRNA". From Rfam's summary of the family: Transfer RNA (tRNA) molecules are approximately 80 nucleotides in length. Their secondary structure includes four short double-helical elements and three loops (D, anti-codon, and T loops). RNAcentral also lists the same sequence under 1 other name. Lineage: Bacteria; Pseudomonadati; Pseudomonadota; Alphaproteobacteria; Rhodospirillales; Rhodospirillaceae. The record is from RNAcentral.